AUUGAACGCUGGCGGCAGGCCUAACACAUGCAAGUAGAACGAGUGGCGGACGGGUGAGUAAUGUAUGGGAAACUGCCCGAUGGAGGGGGAUAACUACUGGAAACGGUAGCUAAUACCGCAUACCUUCCGUUGGGCCCAGAGGGGAUUAGCUAGUAGGGGGGGUAACGGCUCACCUAGGCGACGAUCCCUAGCUGGUCUGAGAGGCUGACCAGCCACACUGGAACUUAGACACGGUCCAGACUCCUACGGGAGGCAGCAGUGGGGAAUAUUGCACAAUGGGCGCAAGCCUGAUGCAGCCAUGCCGCGUGUAUGAAGAAGGCCUUCGGGUUGUAAAGUACUUUCAUCGAGGAGGCGUUACUCGCAGAAGAAGCCCCGGCUAACUCCGUGCCAGCAGCCGCGGUAAUAC
Molecule: ribosomal RNA, 406 nt
Filed under: uncultured bacterium
Lineage: Bacteria
Description: partial 16S ribosomal RNA
Rfam family: Bacterial small subunit ribosomal RNA
Source: RNAcentral